This 158-nucleotide ribosomal RNA is filed under the name Phyllachora maydis. RNAcentral's name for it is "5.8S ribosomal RNA". It matches the Rfam family "5.8S ribosomal RNA". Rfam says of the family: 5.8S ribosomal RNA (5.8S rRNA) is a component of the large subunit of the eukaryotic ribosome. The record is from RNAcentral. Lineage: Eukaryota; Fungi; Ascomycota; Sordariomycetes; Phyllachorales; Phyllachoraceae.
AAACUUUCAACAACGGAUCUCUUGGCUCUGGCAUCGAUGAAGAACGCAGCGAAAUGCGAUACGUAGUGUGAAUUGCAGAACUCAGUGAAUCAUCGAAUCUUUGAACGCACAUUGCGCCCGCUAGUAUUCUGGCGGGCAUGCCUGUUCGAGCGUCAUCU